Molecule: transfer RNA, 84 nt
Filed under: Rhodospirillaceae bacterium
Lineage: Bacteria; Pseudomonadati; Pseudomonadota; Alphaproteobacteria; Rhodospirillales; Rhodospirillaceae
Description: tRNA-Leu
Rfam family: tRNA
About the family: Transfer RNA (tRNA) molecules are approximately 80 nucleotides in length.
Source: RNAcentral
GCCGAAGUGGCGGAAUUGGAAGACGCGCUACGUUCAGGGCGUAGUGAGGUACCCCCUCGUGUGGGUUCGAGUCCCACCUUCGGC